GCUCAGAGAAGAUCGGGAAGCGGAGUGAGAGAACGAUCAAACAGUCCGUUCAAGAGAGAGUAUCAACAACGAUCAAACAGUCCGAUCAGAUUAAGUCAAGGGUUUUCACCCUUUUCUAAGCCUCCAACCCCGAAUUCCCUAUCUCCCCGAUUCGUUCUGGAGAGUAUCAACAACGCUCAGAGAAUUCACCCGACCAAUUCUCAUCUCAAGCACCAUCUAUUUCUUCAACUUGAUGCCUAAUGGGAUGUUAGCAGUCCCCAUGAGAAAGAAACUAAUGAGAUGACAGUGCCUCUGGAAUUAAAGACUUCUCGAACUCAAGCAAUCACUCAACACUGAAGUGGGGACGUGACAAGAGAUUCCAAGGUUGAUGAUACUGAGGUUGAAGGGAAGGAUCACAAAGAAUCAGAUGUAUCCAACCCAGAGGAUGAUGUUAAAGAAGCUGAAAGCUAGAUGGGUCUUAUUGUGGAGCAGACAUCAUUUAUGUUU
This 486-nucleotide long non-coding RNA is filed under the name Rosa chinensis. RNAcentral's name for it is "sRNA RchiOBHm_Chr7g0236681". Lineage: Eukaryota; Viridiplantae; Streptophyta; Magnoliopsida; Rosales; Rosaceae. The record is from RNAcentral.